This 366-nucleotide long non-coding RNA is filed under the name Cyanistes caeruleus (blue tit). RNAcentral's name for it is "lncRNA (ENSCCEG00000013323.1)". Lineage: Eukaryota; Metazoa; Chordata; Aves; Passeriformes; Paridae. The record is from RNAcentral.
GGCAAGCGACGGUAGAUUGAAGCUCAAGUGUAGCUGACCUUCCAGCUCAUAAAGCAGCAAAGACCUGACUGUCCUGUGACAAUACAAACACUCCUGCUGACAGCACAUGACCAGAGCUGCUGGCAUACAGCUGCAAAAGCAGGAGAUGGCUUGGCUGGGGUGCUGACAGGGUCCCUGUCCCUGCCUGACCCUCGCCAUCACACUGCACAGGCCUCUGAGCUGCGUGGCAGGCAGUUCCUGAGCCACCACGGAUUAUUUUGUUCCCUUUACAACUGUCAGUGACACCACAGCAUUUGAAGCAUGAGGAGGAAGUUAUGCUGAGUAUCGUAGCUACUCUCACAGUAGCUACUGUGAGAGGAAAUAAAG